Molecule: ribosomal RNA, 376 nt
Filed under: uncultured bacterium
Lineage: Bacteria
Description: bacterial SSU rRNA
Rfam family: Bacterial small subunit ribosomal RNA
Source: RNAcentral
UACGGAGGGGGCAAACGUUGUUCGGAAUUACUGGGCGUAAAGGGUGAGUAGGCGGUUCGAUUAGUCUAGCGUGAAAUCUCUCGGCUUACCCGGGAAACUGCGCUGGAAACUGUCGAGCUCGAGGAUGGAAGAGGCAGAUGGAAUUCCUGGUGUAGCGGUGGAAUGCGUAGAUAUCAGGAAGAACACUCGUGGCGAAGGCGGUCUGCUUGUCCAUUUCUGACGCUGAAUCACGAAAGCCAGGGGAGCAAACGGGAUUAGAUACCCCGGUAGUCCUGGCCCUAAACGGUGAACACUAGGUGUCGGGGGUAUCGACCCCCUCGGCGCCGUAGCUAACGCGUUAAGUGUUCCGCCUGGGGAGUACGACCGCAAGGUUGAA